This 423-nucleotide ribosomal RNA is filed under the name uncultured bacterium. RNAcentral's name for it is "bacterial SSU rRNA". It matches the Rfam family "Bacterial small subunit ribosomal RNA", at positions 207 to 622 of the family's 1533-position model. The record is from RNAcentral.
AAGACCUUACGCUUUUGGAGCGGCCGAUGCCUGAUUAGCUUGUUGGUAAGGUAAAAGCUUACCAAGGCUUCGAUCAGUAGCUGGUCUGAGAGGACGGCCAGCCACACUGGGACUGAGACACGGCCCAGACUCCUACGGGAGGCAGCAGUGGGGAAUUUUGGACAAUGGGGGCAACCCUGAUCCAGCCAUGCCGCGUGAGUGAAGAAGGCCUUCGGGUUGUAAAGCUCUUUCAGCCGGAACGAAACGGUUACGGUUAAUACCCGUGAUUACUGACGGUACCGGAAGAAGAAGCACCGGCUAACUACGUGCCAGCAGCCGCGGUAAUACGUAGGGUGCGAGCGUUAAUCGGAAUUACUGGGCGUAAAGCGUGCGCAGGUGGUUUUGUAAGUCAGAUGUGAAAGCCCCGGGCUCAACCUGGGAACU